UAAGAAGGGUGGGACCCUCCCAGAGAUAAGGGUUUGGGGCAUGGGAUUCUCACGGGAACGGGGCAGUUGCAUCCUGGUAGGAAAUGGAGAAGCGAAGGACUGAAAAUAUCGGAUGCCCACCCAGAUGGGUCUCACAUUUCCUGCAGCAACGGGACACGGAGCAUCGAGGGUCCCAUGACCUCUCCUGGCAGCCCUGCCAUGGACCACGCUGGGGCUGGCCCUGCAGCCUCUAGGCGAGUCCCCAGGCCAGGAGUGUUGCGAGAGGGGCAGUGACCCCCACUGGGUGCCACAGCAGGGCGCAGUGCAAGCGGCACCGGGGUCCCCACUCAGCGGCCCCCGCCCUUCACGGAGGGGUCCGGUCCUCUGUGAGGAGGAAGCCCAGCGGCUGUGGCGGCAGGGGCGGCCCGCCCUCACGGGCCCCAGUGAGCGCCACCUACGGCGGGGGCAGUCACUGCCCAUCGCUUGGGGGGCCGCCCUGAGGGCCAUCGGCUCCCUCCCUCCUCGGGGCGGAUGGGGAAACUCCCCGCACUUUCCGCGGGGCCCCCACGCCGGGGCUCUCCCGACCCCGCUCGGCUGUGGCAGGCGGUGGCCCCACCCCCCUCACGGGGCCCCAGCCGCUCCCAGAGCCCGCGGGCAGCCCCGGUUGCGCUAAUAAACGGGCGGAGGGAGGGGGACGUUCUACGCAGUGACGUUCCCCCCGGCUGCGGGCCGGGCUGGGGGAAGCCCCGCCCCUGGCACGGGGUGGGCGGAGCCUCCUACCUCAGCCUCACCGCCCGACUCGGGCGCCAUUUUGGGAAGCUCUUUGUGUGGCGGGGCUGCGAGAGACACUCGAUACUUGCCCGGGCAGCGUAGGGCGCAGGGCCUCGGCCGCUGUGACUGGCCCUUCCCUGGGAGCGGGCGGUGCAACCGGGCCUGAGCGAUGGGGGAGGAUACAGAGAUGCCAGUGGAUCAGGCUGACUCUGCUAUUGAAAGUGGUGACAUGACAGAAACCAAAAGCAAGGGACCAAGAGGUCGGGGCAGAGGAAGAGGUGGCAGAGAUUUUGGAAACGAGGGACAGCUUUCAUAUGUCAGAGGGAAAAUGCGAGGCAAAACAAUUAAUGGCAUUGGGCCCAUGAGAUGUGGGAUAGGAAGAAUGUAUCCAUAUCCUGACACCCGAGGCCAAAGAGGAGGCAGAGGGAGGCCACCUUUUCUACCACCCUCACCCAUGGGAGGAAUGAUGAGAGAUCCUUUCUCACUUCCAGCACCAAGACAUGGACUUCCUCCUCCACCAUCACUACCAGGACCAAUGGGCUUCAGAGGCAGGCCACCUCACCCCAGAGCCAGAGGGAUGCUGCGGAUGCCAAGAGGUCGUUUCCCUCCACCAAGAGGCUUUCCCAAUGGACCUGGUGUACCAUCCCCUCCGCCACCUGGACGGGGCCAGAGAUGGCUUGGACCGCCAGGUGGCAGACACUAUUAAAGAGGCUUAUUCUUUAAAUUGUAUAGCAGGGCGCUUUCUUGUUACCUUAAAACCAUUUGAAAUGGCUGGACUAAGAACUGCCUAUAAAACAUUAAAGAUGGCAAAGAAUAUUAAUUGAACUUAGACAGCUAAUAUUUUCCAGAAGCCCUCAUGCACCAGUUGGCAAAAGCCAUAUAUUAAAAAAAGUCUGUGACUCCUUGGACUUUUUUCAAGCAUAUCCUUUUUAAGCCUAGGCUUUAUGGACACUGACUCCUGCACACUAAAUGUAAAAGGAAAAACACAUCUGUUACAAUAGUUUGAGUCUUCAUUUAAUAUACAGAACUCUGAUUGCUUUUGACAAUUGUGUGCAGCUUGUUUUAGUGUAGAACAUGAAUUUGUUUUAAUGCUAUGAUUUUGUGUGUAUAAACAUGAACUUUUUUUAAGGGUUUGAAAUCACUUUCAAAUUUUAUAACAGUAAAUGCAGCCAACUGCUUAAUAUUUGGGAAGAGUAUACUGUACUACAUUUUGAAGUGUUACCUGUAGAGCCCUGCAAAUCCGUGGGAAUCUGCUUUCUAUCCAUUGAUAUCUACAGACCAGGGGUCUGCAGCACGCACUCACUGGAAUGGAGAGGCUGUCAUCCAGCCUGCAGGCUCCAGCUCUGCUCUCUAAAUCACGCAGCAGCGAGCUGGGCAUUCUGGGAGUUGUAGUCUCCAGCUUGCUCAGAUGGAGGAGGUAAAGACAACUCCUAGAAGGGAGUAAGCCAAGCACCAUUUUGAAGGUGUGGUUGUUCUUUAAAUGAGCAGGCGGCAAUAGCUAUGUGCAUUAGAGCCUCUGCAACUGUGUAGAGCUGUCUGAGCCCCCCACGGGGAGGGCGGUGCUGCAUAGAAGGGCCCAGAAUUGUAGCCUCCGUGCCAGGAGCAAGGAAAGAGGGUAAGAUAGUCACCCUUUGAGGCCAAUUGGAGAUGGUAUACAGGCCUUUCGGAGAGCAUACGACAAGCCUUAUCUCAGCAUAUGUCAAAUAAUAGUUCCAGAGUCAGUUACUAUAAUGUCCUUCGUUUGUUCUAGUAGUAAUUUCUAAAUUUAGAAACUGCUUCACUUUUUUUUGCUAUUGAGACCUGUAUUUUGAACUCUUGGAAUUUUUGCUAUGGGGAGACUGAACAGCAGAGCUGAAAUUCAAGCUGGAAGUUCUGUUGAGUUCAAGGAGCAAAAGACUGCAGAUGGACUAUCACCAUUUGAAGGAGCAUCUAGUCAAAAUUAUAAGUAUCCUAAAGAACUCUCUGCACUGGUUGCGAUAAACUCAUUCAGUAAUGAGGUCACCCUUUUGUAGGGCAGGGAUUAUGAACUACUGUAUAGAAAGGGAAGAUCCCUGUGCACAACAAGGGUGGUGGGACCAAUCUUGGAUGCCACUCCAUCUCCCGUAUGGCCCUCCAAUGGCCCUACUGGGAUCCCUGGGCUUCCUGUUGGCAGCAAUUUGCCAGACCACCAGCUCUGUCAUAUCAAGAGGUGAGAGUUCUACAGUCCUCUCCCCAGCCAACCCACCUGAAUGAUGAGGCAUUUGAGGAGCAGGAAGUUAGGGCUGAUAAUGAGGCCACCCCCAAACCCUUUGUCUCCAGAUGAGGUGGUCAUGCCUCCACUGCUGUCCACAGUCAACAAUUUCCAGCAGUUCCAGGACCUUAUAAAGAGAGUCACGGACGCUUUCUGAGUACCACUCUAAGAGGUCAAAGAUUCUCAACACAAACUGCUGGACAUUUUGCAAUCAGCAACACCCACUGGAGUUGUCUUAUCCAUUAAUGAGGUGCUCCAGGACCCAGCAGACUCUUUAGCAAACACCUGCUACUGUUCCACCAAUUUGAAAAUGGAUAGAUAGGAAAUAUUAUUGUUCCAUUCUCCUCCCCUCUCACCCCCUCAGGUCUCAGAGUUUUAGUUCACUUAAUUCUCUGGUGGUGGGUGUAGUAAAUGAGUAGAAUAAGCAAUAGUACUCUAAGUAUAUCCUCCAUAACAAGGACAAAAAAAGAUUAGACUUCUUUGGAUGGAAGUCUUAGUCAUCUGUGACACUGCAGUUUUGGAUUGCAAAUUGUCAGGUGAUCUGCAAUUGCAAUAAAGAGCUGUGAUGACUUACGAAAUGGCUUUGUGCGCUCAAUGUAGAAGGCUAGGGCAUGCCUGAUGUCCAGGGAAUGGAGCAUUCGCUCUCUGUUACUGGCAUGUGGCUUAGGGAAGAACACAGGUAAAAAUAUGUGGUGGUUCACAUGAAACUGGGAUACUACCUUUGGUAGAAACGCAGGGUGAAGGCGUAGCUGCACCUUGUCUUUAUAAAAGACUGUAUGGGGGAGGCCUGGAAGUCAGUGCUGUGAGCUUGGAUACCCUUCUGGCUGAGGUUAUGGCCACCAGAGAAGCCACUUCCCAGGAAAGGUAGGACAGAGAGCAGGUUGCCGUGGGCUCGAAAGGGUGGGGUCUCAUGAGCAUGGACAGGACCGGGUUGAGGUUCCACUGGGGAUUGGGUUGUCACACCUGGGGAUAAAGCCUGUCCAAGCCCUUGAGAAACCAAGCCCACCAUGGGAUUUCCAAACAUUGACCUUCCUGCUGCCCCUGGGUGGAAUGCUGAAAUGGCAGCCAGGUGUACUUUGAUAGAUGAUAUUUGCAACCCCUGCUGCUUUGGGUACAGUAGGUAGUCCAAAACAAGGGGAAUUGAUGCUUGCUGUGGAGGGCUGCCUAUCUGCAGAGACCAGAUGGAAAACCGCUUCCACUUUGUCAGGUAUGUGGCACGAGUGGAGGGUUUCCUACUUCCCAGCAGGACAUCCUUCACUGGGUCUGAACACUGAAGCUUAAGAGGUUUCAGCCAUGCAGUUUCCACGCCGUGAGGUGGAGGGACUCCAGGCUGGGGUGUUGUAGACAGCCGUGGUCUUGUGUGAUGAGGGCCAGGCACAUGGGAAGGGUUACUGCUCUGUCCACUGAGAGGUUCAACAGUGUGAUGAACCAGUGUGGCGGGGCCACGCUGGCGCUAUGAGGAUCAAGGAAUCCCUGUCCCAGCAAGCCUUGAGGAGGACUUUGUGUAUGAGAGGGAAGGAUGGGAAUGCGUAUAGCAGGUGACUCAUCCAUGAAAGGUGUCAGUGAUGGAGCUUGGGCUGUAGUUCAGAAAGAAGAACCGCUGGCACUUCCUGUUGCUCCGUGUCGCAAACACGUCUAUGUGGGGAAAGCCCCACCUCUGGAAAGUCGAGAGCGUGAUGUCCACCCUGAGGGACCAUUCUUGACUGUGAAACAAGCAGCUGAGGCGGUCAGCUAGCUCGUUUUGCACUCCCGAAGUGAGCAAUGCAGAAGUCCCACAGCCCAACGGCUUCCUGGCAUGGGAGAGGAGCAAGCACCACUAUGUUUUUUUAUAUAGAACAUUGCUGUGGUGUUGUCCUUCUGCACCGACACACAUGCAUCCUGAAGGUGAGCCCUGAACUCUUGGCAUGCCAGACGAACCGCCCUCAGCUCCCUUACAUUGAUAUGCAGCAAUAGUUCUGGGUGGGACCAUAGGCCUUGGGUUCUGAUAUUGUCCAGAUGUGCUCCCCAACUGAGUGCUGAGGUGUCCGUGACCAGCGAUAGCGGAGGUUGGGGUUUGACUGCAGCCACCAGUGGAGAGACUCGAGAAUGCGAGGUUGGAGGGUAACUAAUCUGUCCAGUGGGUCCCUGUUGGGCCUGUGCACCUGCGCCAACCACACCUGGAGAGGCCAAAGGCGCAAUCUGGCAUACUAGACCACAUAUGUACAAGCCACCGUCUGCCCCAGCAGUUUCAUGCAAUUUCUGGUAGUCGCCGUGGGUAAUCGGCGAAGGUUCUCAAUGUCCCUGAGUGCUUGGAAGCACAGCUCAGGCAGAAACGCCCUGGCUUGCAUGGAGUCCAAGAGAGCUCCUAUGAAUUCUGUUCUCUGUGUUGGGGCUAGUGUGGAUUUAGGUAUUUUCAAUAUGAGGCCUACCAUCCUAAGGAAGGUGGCCUGAGCCAGACACACCUGCUCUGCAGCCUGUGCUUGCAACUUGGCCUUGAUGAGCCAGUCAUCCAGGUACGGGAAAACUUGUACCUGACGUUUGCGGAGAAAGGCUACCACGACUGCCAUACACUUCGUGAAUAUCUGGAGAGCUGCCGAGAGCCCAAAUGAGAGCACCCUGAACUGGUAGUGCUGGCCUCUGACCACGAAGCGAAGAAAUUGUGGGCCAGGGUAAUGGAGAUAUGAAAGUACACAUCUUUCAAGUUGAGGGCAGCGUACCAGUCCUCCAGAUCCAGGAAAGGAAUGAUGGAGGCCAGGGAGAGCAUGCAAAACUUCACUUUCUUUAUGAAUGUGUUGCAGUCUCCCAGAUCCAGGAUAGGCAAGGGCCCACCCUUGGCCUUGGUGAUGAGGAAAUAGCUGGAGUAGAACCCCUGAACUCCUGAGGAACCUCCUCUGUUGCCCCUAGAGCAAGGAGCGAUUGCACCUCCGGCAGAAGUUAUUGUUCGUGAGGAGGGAAGAGGGGUGGGAGGGAACAGAAUUGGAUAGAAUAUGCCAUGUCCACCGUGCUCAGAACCCAGUGAUCUGAUGUGAUCUGGGACCAAGCACGGUAGAAGUGGGAUAGUCAAUUCACAAAGAGGGGUAAAGAUCUGAGCUCGGUACUGGUGCUCCGUCCUCGGGUGCAUCUUCAAAAGUUUGGCUUCAGGCCAGAGGGCUGUUUCAAAGAACCCUGGCCUUGUCCUGAGGAGUACUGGCGGGCGCCUCCUAUUAUUCCGCCCCUCUCCUGGAUAAGUCUCGUCUUGGGGGCCCAGACUAGAAGUGGGACAGGGGCUGAGGCUUAAAUGGCUUUCUUUGGGGUACAGGGGUGUGGAUCCCCAAAGACUUUAGCGUCACCCACAUGUCCUUCGGACUGUGCAAGCGAGAGUCUAUAUUUUGGGCAAACAACCCCUUACGGUUAAAGGGCAGGUCCUGAAUCGUGUUCUGAACCUCUGGUGGUAUACCAAACACCUGCAGCCACGCGCUGCAUCUCAUUGUGAUGGCAGUGGCCAUAGUCCGAGCCACCGAGUCUGCCGCAUGAAACACAGCCUGGAGGGAGGUUCUUGAGACCACCCUGCCCUCCUCUAGAAGCUCAUUAAACUCCUUGCACAAGUCAGCCAGCAGCAACUCCUGAAACUUUGCUAAUGCACUCCAGGAAUCGAAAGCACAGCGACUGAGUACCUCUUGCUAGUUGGCCACUUGAAGCUGGAGUUGGCCGAAAAGGUCCAACUUCUUAGCGUCCAGUGACUUUGGAACAGGACCUGGCUGCCCCAGCAGCUCCUUGUGAUUUGCUGCGUCGACCACUAGAGUCCUCAGUGGGGAGUGGGUGAAAAGGUGUUCAUACUCUUUCUGCAGCACAUCUAACAUCUCUCUACCCCUUUAGUGGUGGGUGAUAUAGAGGCCGGGAUCUGCCAGAGCACCCUAGUAGCGUUCUGGAUCAUUUUUAUCUGGGGCAAGGCCACCUUAGAUGGACCCUCCGGGGCAAGGAUGUCCACCAUUGGGUCUGACUCCUCUGUGACCACCUCCACCUGGAGGCUUAGGGCCACCCUCCUAAGAAGGUCUUGGUGUCCCUUAGUGGCUGCCGCCGGUAGGAUGGUAGUGGUGGUGCCUGCCACCGUCUUGUCCAGGGAGGAGGAGGCCCAUGGGACCAGGUCUUCCUGACAUUCUGGUUCCCU
Caretta caretta (loggerhead turtle) is the source of this 7106-nucleotide non-coding RNA. Lineage: Eukaryota; Metazoa; Chordata; Testudines; Cheloniidae. The record is from RefSeq and is a predicted model, not a curated record.